AGAGCAUGAUGAACCAAUUCAGUUCUGCUUCUGACAUUAUUUGAAGAUAACAUACCCCACGAUCCUGAGUU
This is a small nucleolar RNA of Danaus plexippus plexippus, 71 nucleotides long. NCBI's taxonomy places the organism in Eukaryota, Metazoa, Arthropoda, Insecta, Lepidoptera, Nymphalidae. The record is from Rfam.